This 468-nucleotide ribosomal RNA is filed under the name uncultured bacterium. RNAcentral describes it as "partial 16S ribosomal RNA". It matches the Rfam family "Bacterial small subunit ribosomal RNA", at positions 28 to 507 of the family's 1533-position model. The record is from RNAcentral.
GAUGAGCGCUGGCGGCGUGCUUAACACAUGCAAGUCGAACGGUGACGGCGGAGCUUGCUCUGCUGGAUCAGUGGCGAACGGGUGAGUAACACGUGAGCAAUCUGCCCCUGACUCUGGGAUAAGCGCUGGAAACGGCGUCUAAUACUGGAUACGAGCUGCGAAGGCAUCUUCAGCAGCUGGAAAGAAUUUCGGUCAGGGAUGAGCUCGCGGCCUAUCAGCUUGUUGGUGAGGUAAUGGCUCACCAAGGCAUCGACGGGUAGCCGGCCUGAGAGGGUGACCGGCCACACUGGGACUGAGACACGGCCCAGACUCCUACGGGAGGCAGCAGUGGGGAAUAUUGCACAAUGGGCGCAAGCCUGAUGCAGCAACGCCGCGUGAGGGACGACGGCCUUCGGGUUGUAAACCUCUUUUAGCAGGGAAGAAGCGAAAGUGACGGUACCUGCAGAAAAAGCGCCGGCUAACUACGUG